This 1198-nucleotide long non-coding RNA is filed under the name Vulpes vulpes (red fox). RNAcentral's name for it is "lncRNA (ENSVVUG00000023212.1)". Lineage: Eukaryota; Metazoa; Chordata; Mammalia; Carnivora; Canidae. The record is from RNAcentral.
GCUAACAUAACAAAUGAUCCCAAAAUGUUAAUGGCUUAAUACAAUGAAGAUUUUUUUUCUUACUAUGUCACAGUCUGAAUCAGAUGUUCAGCACGUGAUCUUCCACAUGGUAUACUCAAGUGUCAUCAUCCUCUGUGCUCCACUCAAUCCUCUGGAUUGACUCUGCCUGCCACGAUGCUAAGAAAGAGAAAGUAGAGGCUCACACAGGGUUGUUCAUGGACCAGAAAUCCUAUCCUGAAGGAAGGAAAUGGCGGGAGUGGAUAGACCUAAAGAGAGAGAGAGAGAACACAAGCAGGGAUGGUGGGAGAGGAAGAAGCUGGCUCCUCAGUGAGCAAAGAGCCCUAUGGAAUAAGAAGCUUAAUCCCAGGAGCCUGGGAUUGUGACCAGAGCUAAGGACAGACACUUAAGCAAUCGACUGAGCCAUCCAGGCACCCCACAGUUAAUUUUUUUUUAAAUAAGAUAGAAUAAUUUUAGAUAUUUACUAAUAACUAGUUAGUUGUAAAAUGGGAGUUUAUAUAAGGUUUCUAGUAUUGCCUAAAAUUUCAUAACAGUGUAUAGUUUUUCUUUGAAGAACACUGAUCUAUAAGAGACUAAUGCUAGUUUUUAAGUUCAUUGAUUUUCAGUUGCUAAGAAAAAAAGGAUGAUGUUACUUAAACUUGUUUGCCCCCUUCUUAGAUUUUAUUGACAAAAUCUGUAAUGUGUUUUGCAUACUUGAAAAUAAGAUAGGCUGACAGGUGCUUUAGUACUGAAACAUGAAGAAUAGAGUAUGAAAUUUUAUUAUCUUAUUUAUUAGCCUCAUAUUUUGUUUACUUAAAGCAAACAUUUAUUUUCUUAAGUAUGAAGUAAAUUUUUUUUAAAGGAUGGAUUAAGUGAUUAAAACAUGAAUGGACUAAAGCAAAAUUUCCCAAAUUGUGAAACUUUAAAAAAUCAAUCCGUUAUAUUCAUAAAUGUAUACUGGUUUUAGGCAUCACAGUGAAAACAGAGGUAAUUUCUUUUUUGAAGCUUAUUCUUUUGCAGCCAGAAGGUAGAAGAGAAUGUUUUGGAAGAUGUUCAACAUUUAAUUACCUAAAAUCUGAUUUUUGCUAAGCAAUGUCAAUACUUUUCACCAAUUGAAUUAAAAUGCUUAUUUUAUAUUGUAUAGUACACAGAACAUUUCAGAACUAAUAAAAAAUGUAAAUGAAGGAAAGAAAAUGGCUAA